RNAcentral lists this ribosomal RNA (527 nucleotides) under uncultured eukaryote. RNAcentral describes it as "eukaryotic LSU rRNA". The record is from RNAcentral.
AGCUUUCCCCCCAGUUUUCGCGAGCUUUAGCAUCUCCCCCUUCGCCUGGACUGGCUGCUCUGGAGCAGCAGCGAGCGCGAGCUGGGUGCGAAGCAGCGCCUCAAGGCCUCCCGAGCGGGGGGCCUCGGCGCCGCGCCGCCCCCAGCCCUCCGCGAGCCGCCGCCCCGGCGAACGCGCCCUGGCCGCAGCGCGGCUUGCUCUCCAGCGGAGCCGAGCGGGCUUUCCUGCGCGGCCCCCGGCGGGCCUCCGCGCCGCAGCCGGGCUCCCUCUUCCUCUAGCGUAGCGCCCCGUUGCCCAGCUUGGGCUCCCCGGGCAGCGGCAAGGGCUCGGCGCUCCGAGCCCCGCCUCCGCCCGAGGGGCCGCUCCGAGCUGGGGUCCAAAAGCUUACCGCAUCCGCUCUGCCAGGGCAGGCUGGGGCAGAGCCUUGUGCCUGGUUCCUCAGAUUGCGCGCGCGCUCGCUCUCCCGCUCUCCGGGUAGGCGCGUUGCUUUCGCUUACCGCCCUGCGAGAGGGCGUCCCCCCCGCCGA